RNAcentral lists this ribosomal RNA (301 nucleotides) under uncultured bacterium. Its description in RNAcentral is "partial 16S ribosomal RNA". It matches the Rfam family "Bacterial small subunit ribosomal RNA", at positions 509 to 807 of the family's 1533-position model. The record is from RNAcentral.
CAGUAGCCGCGGGAAUACGGAGGGUGCAAGCGUUAAUCGGAAUUACUGGGCGUAAAGCGUGCGUAGGCGGUUCGUUAAGUCUGUUGUGAAAGCCCCGGGCUCAACCUGGGAAUGGCAAUGGAUACUGGCGAGCUAGAGUGUGUCAGAGGAUGGUGGAAUUCCCGGUGUAGCGGUGAAAUGCGUAGAGAUCGGGAGGAACAUCAGUGGCGAAGGCGGCCAUCUGGGACAACGCUGACGCUGAGGCACGAAAGCGUGGGGAGCAAACAGGAUUAGAGACCCCUGUAGUCCCUGUCUCUUAUAC